This 462-nucleotide ribosomal RNA is filed under the name uncultured bacterium. RNAcentral's name for it is "partial 16S ribosomal RNA". It matches the Rfam family "Bacterial small subunit ribosomal RNA", at positions 28 to 507 of the family's 1533-position model. The record is from RNAcentral.
GAUAAACGCUGGCGGCGUGCUUAACACAUGCAAGUCGAACGAAGUUUUUCUUUCGGGAGGAACUUAGUGGCGGACGGGUGAGUAACGCGUGGGUAACCUGCCCUGUACAGGGGGACAACAGCUGGAAACGGCUGCUAAUACCGCAUAAGCCCUUAGCACUGCAUGGUGCAUAGGGAAAAGGAGCAAUCCGGUACAGGAUGGACCCGCGUCUGAUUAGCCAGUUGGCGGGGUAACGGCCUACCAAAGCGACGAUCAGUAGCCGAUCUGAGAGGAUGUACGGCCACAUUGGGACUGAGACACGGCCCAGACUCCUACGGGAGGCAGCAGUGGGGAAUAUUGCACAAUGGAGGAAACUCUGAUGCAGCGACGCCGCGUGAGUGAAGAAGUAUUUCGGUAUGUAAAGCUCUAUCAGCAGGAAAGAAAAUGACGGUACCUGACUAAGAAGCACCGGCUAAAUACGUG